CACUCGUCGGUGUCAUGGGUUUUACGCUUUUCGUAAUCAUAAUAUUUCCUUUUUUUCUUUGUCCACCUAUGUAAGUGUUUUCUCAACUGCAUGCACCUCAUCCUGGUGACUCCGGGGCUCAUCCUUGCCGAAAGGACGAAAUAUGUGAGGUGGGUGCCUUGAGUGCCGAUUGUGCUUGUCAUGACUUCUGUCAUGGUGGUCUCGGUGAUUGGAAUUUACAUGGGAGUUUGCUUGCUCUUGCUUGACAUACGCAUUUGCAACAACUUUCAGGUUGGCUUCCUUCCCUUCCUCGCCUUCGAUUUGUUGGAGGUAUUUUUCGACUUUGUAUUUGAGCUUGUCUCUCGACUGAGGUACCAUACACUACAUCUUUUUUGACAGAGGCCCGGGGAGUAGACCUUGAGUGAAUCCGCCGAUUACAAGGAACUCUUCAUGACCUGGAACGUUGAGUGUCGCCAUUUUGAAUCUAUCAUUGUAUGCUCGUAUUGACUCUCCUUCUUUUUGCUUGCAUGCCAUUAUGAAGUUUGCAUCUCCUUUCCCCUUCCGUAGUUGCAUGAAAUUGUUUAGGAAAAGGUAUCUCAGUUGUUCGAAAAUCGCGAUGUUUCCUGGUCACAGCGCCUUGACCAAUUUUAGGGCGUUACCAGAUAACAUAACAGGAAAAUACAUACACAUGAAACGCUUUUCCAUCCUUAGUGAAUUCAUCGUCUACUCAUAGGUGUCGAUGUGCUCAUCGGGGUCAAUUGUUCCAUCGUACUUGGGGAUAUUUGGAAUCAUUGUCGAAUGCGAGAUCUCAUACUACAAGAGUUCCUAGCAAAAGGGAGAACUCAUGAUCCUCGUUGGGUUUUCCAUGCGAGGGUAUGGAAAACCUCCGUACAUCAUAAAUUUUUGGGUGUAAUAUGGGUUUCCGUAUGUUUGGUUAUACAUUGCUACUUGCGAGAUGUAUGGUUGUUGGUGGCAGCUCUAUUGCGUGCUUUGUUGCAGUUGUGAGCUUUUCUCCAGCUGUUGGGGCAUGCUCGGAGUUGAUCCAUGUGGUUGUUGGACAAAGGAGUUCAGCUAAUGCGUCGAUGAGAAGCGAGGAUUAGGCUCUCCCGCCAGCGGUGUUUAAUGGUUGGAUCUGUACGACUGCUUGAAAUGGGGUUAAACAUUGUAGGUUGUUGAGCAAAAAGCAAGAUAUGCGACAUUCCUAUUACAGGAGAAAACUGGUAGCUUAACGUUGGGUUGUGUGUGGGGGAAGGGAUGGUUCCUGGGGACCAAGUGUUCGCCCCCACCUGUUACGGUAGCGUCUGCAGCUGAGAAACCACUGGUUGUGACUGUUGAGUCGAUAGCUGGGGAUGUUGUGUCGGUGGCUGUGACUGCUAAGUCGCAGUCGACUAAGAUACUACAGUCGUGGUUGUAACUAGUUGCUCUGCUAUGGUAGAUCGUGGUUGCCUUAGGGUUGUGAUUACUACUGUUGCGGUUCCAAAUCUUGGACCUUGAUUUUGUGUUGCUGGCGUGUGGGUGGAUGCUUGUUCGUCUGAGAUAGAUGGUUGUCCUCGAGUGACAACAUUGAUCUGAGUGGGCUUGCUUCUCCCCCAACCGGACGCCGCAGGUCCCUUUUCCAUCAUUGCUGCCGCCUAGGGUUGUUUGAAGGUUGUGUAGCUAUGAGUACACACCCGAAUGGCACCAAAUGUUGUGAUAUAUCUUCGAGCUUAACACUUUCUGUGGUGGUUUCGCCUGAAUUACGCCUGAGAAUCACAACAAAGAAAGAGCCGACGUUAGUCUUCGUUUGGGAGGGGGUCCCGGAACGAGACUCCGAAUGUCUAGUUAGUAAGUGCAUGGGAGAAUUAGGGCUUUGUAUUAGAUAAAGAGAGAGCGUGAUCCCCUCUCAUGUAGAAGAAGCGUACUUUUAUACCUGUCGGUCGGGGAGCAUGUCCUAGACAACGCCUUCAGUCUUGUUUGGACUGUUAAGACUAGGAGGCAUCCUAUUGGUGGGUUAUGAACCACUAGUGGUUAUCCACUAUUGGUGCAAAGUUACUGAGAAGCGGUGCUCUGAGCGCUACACUUGUCGUUCUAGGGAUCAGUUUGGAACUAUUUUGGCCUAUUAAGGGCCUUUGUGUUAGAACGUUGGGGCAUAAACAUGAGGUCGUGAGGGCCAGAGCCCCGACCUAGCACUUACGUCGGGUAACGACCGUUAACUAGGUCGUCCCUUUGGAUAGUCAUCCUGUUAUCUUUGGUGUAUUCCCAGAGGGAUACAUUAAUAGUAUGCGCAUAUAUAUAUAUAUAUAUAAGCCACAUAAACUAUAAUAAAGUUCUAGGCAACAAACUACGUAUUACUUNUAUAUAUAUAUAUAGUUAUAGCAACUCACUACAACAUAACAACAUCCUAUACACAAGGAUACAUGACUAAAUCUACAAGGAUGUGUAACCAUAUGUAACCAAAGGUGAGAUAGACGCCCGGACAGAUGAUCCUACUCUAAAGCCACAACCAAACAAGGAACAUGCAGGAAAGCCUAGAACAAGAAUCCUCAGUCUAUCAUACGUGACCACAUACAGUCCCUAGGGCAUUCGUCUAAUAAAUGGUAAGCAAAAAAACUAGUGGGCCGGGAUUGGUGCUUUCGACCCAAUGGUACAGUGAGGAGAACUCACCUGAAAUGAAGAACCUCGAAAUAUUGAGACACGUUUCCCUUUCUGCACUGCUUGCUCCUGCAAAUCUACUAAUCACCAAAACCAAGUAAAAUCUUAAUCAAUAGUCCAAAACCCUCUAGUUUGACUCAAAGAAAAAAUUGGUCAAAAGUCAACGGUCAACAGAAGUCAAUGAAAUUCAAAGUCCAAGGCAGGCUAAGUAAGCCCAAAGUACACCAACCCUACGCUCAGCGUACGUUACUCGAGCCUACUACUCCCAGCAUAUGCAAGUUGUUUCCAACAUUUCCAUUAAGGACUUUAUCCCUUAAGACCUUUCGUCCAGAGCUCAGAUCUAGAUCCAAACAACAUCCUAAAUCAUAAAUUUCCAACUUUAUGACUUUGCAUGGCUAGAAAGGGUCCAAUCUAGAACCGUAACUUAUCAUAAAGUUCUAAGCUUUAUACACCUGGAAAUGCACCUCACAAUCUCUAGAAGAACUCACACUCAAACGGACCAAUUUUUGGGACAAAAAGGACAUAACUUUAACUUCUAAUCUAGAUCUAUAAAUGGAGGCAUACAAGUACAAACUUUAGACCUUCUAGAGAUGAAUGAGGAAGGAGAACUUCUAGAUCCAAAGUUGCUUCAAGCUUCCAAGCACUAUCACCACCUUCUUCUUCCUUCAAAGUCACACAAAAACACACUUUUCAGCUUACAAGGCUCAAACUAGGGUUAAGGUUUCAAGGGAGGACGUUGGAGAGCAGGAGGAUGAGAAUGGAAGAGGUUUAGAAGAGGUAAGGUGCAUAAAUAGGUCUCAAGACCCUAGAUUUAGGGUUUGGGUUCUGCUUGUGUACCCACAUCGUACUAAAUGGUACACCCAACAUACUCUCUUAGAUGUACAUUUUUAUCAGCUAGUACGCCCAGCGUACCUUGAGUAUGUCCACCAUACUAACACAUCUCAUAUCCAACACAAGGUUCAACCCGCUAUAACUUCUUCGAUUCAAAUCAUAUUUUGGCAUUCUUUAUAUGCACAGAAAGCUAUUGAAGAGCCCCACAAUCUAAUCUAGUUAUUUUGGACUAAGAACUUCUCAAAUAAAAUCUGUAAUUCAUGCAAGAAACCCAUUCUAUGACAUUCCCUUUCUACCAUUUGGUUUAUUAUACAAUUCAAGGGUUAUAAAUCUAAACCAUCAUUACCUCCUUCCAAAAAGGUCUAAGCAUUACCUCCUUAAGGCCCAAAGCCUUUACAGAAUCGACUUCCAGCCCAUGAACCUGAAAUAAGACAUGACAAGAAACAUGAUGUUACAAUUCUCCCCCACUUAAGUUAGAUUUUGUCCUCGAAAUAGGUUCUCGCUUCCACCCUCGGAGUAACCCCUUGAUCGGCCAACCACUUCUCCAUGCCUCUACAGUCUUAACAAGAAACAAAAGACCUAUCAAAAACACUACCUUACACUCUUAACAAGAAACAAGAGACCUAUCGAAAACACUACCUUACACCACACCCCUAAUCUCGUAAGAAGAGAAUCCACUUCUCAGCCCAAGACGAGUAGAUCCCAAAAUCAUGGACAACCUUUAGGUAAAUGGAACCACCUAUUUGACACCCAUGCUAACCAAAACUCCCAACCUGAUCUAAACAUAUUCUCCCAACCUUGUGUUGUUCAUCGAACAUCCGAAAUAGGAACUACAUCUUAUGCCAUAACUACAUGCCCCGCACACUGACACAUCAGUGUGGAACCUUACAAAACUCAGUGGACAAGGCUAAACCGUCCUUUCUAUCAAUGAAUCUUGGAAUUCUUGGUGGGCUACCGAUAUGCUAACCCCAUAUAAAAUGCACCAAUGCUAAGAAACCCAUCAAACACAUACUAUAAUGGACUAGGCUCCUACUCGACUCUAAUAUCCCAAUAUGCUAUCCACUCACAAUACUCAGGCUCACUUCAGAUCCGCUAUCAAUUAACCACACUCGGGCUUACCCAUGACCUGCAAAUCAACAACCGCACUUGGGCUUACCCCUGAAUUUCUAACCAAGAACUACACGCGCAACAUAUCACACACUGAACCAGCAAGACUUAACUUACCCUACCAGGAUUUUGGGCCAUGUCUCAGACCUCCAAGCACCAGUCAAAUAAGAACAGAUAAGGAAGACCUCCAUACAACCCUCAACUUGGCUCUUAGAAUCCUAGAGUCUAAAUAUCGAGGACGCCCUAUAGAUUACUAAUACUACCAAAACUAGAAUGAUUCAAAAAACAUUCCAGCAGCUAACUAUGAUCCCGAUGCGACAAUCAGAAAAUCAGACGAUUCCAUGAAAAUCCCAAACUGGAGAAAUUCGGUUAAGAUCUGGACCUUGGCAUCAGGUCCUCCUGCUAUGAGGGUUACAGUCUCCCCUACUUAGGAUAUGAUAGGUCUUGACAACUUCAACAUCUUUUUCAACUCCUAGGCCACAUGAACUCCACUAAUUGAUCUCCACACUUAAUAUUCAGGUGCUCAGAAAAAAAUCUACAACCACAACAACAUUCACAAAUUCCAACGCGCAAGCAACACUCCAAAGACAAAUAAUCAAUCCCUUCAUAAUAACAAAUUGAUUGAAACUAAAGUUAAAUAUGAUAAUUUCAUUCAACUAAUCAUUCAAGAUUACAACUGGACUCCCAGAACAUAAACAUAAAAUACAAUGAUACCACAAUACAAUACCCAACCAAAUCGAAGAACUGAAAACUCAAGCCUCGGUCUUUGGAACUCCGAUCAUCCUAUAUUGUCCAUCUGGUAAUUGCCAAGCUAGGGUUGUAGGGUUCGGAACCUCGUCAAAAAUAAAAAGGGGACAAUGAGCUUUGAUGUGGCCCUCCUGUCUGCAAUGGAAACAAACCCGCAAGCUCCGCCUACAAUCCCUACCAAAAAGACCCUCUUCGCCACACCUACGACAUACAGAAGAUCGACACCUUCCAUCAUGAAACCUUCCGCACUUGCCACACUCAGAUCUUCUCCUCUCAUCUAAUCCUAAACUCGCAUCAGUGGACUUAAACUACUUGGCCACCGGCUGAUAUUGUCCUGAAGUUGUCCCUUCCUCCUUCUACCGAAUCUCUAACUUGAUAUUCCUCCUCCUGGCGCUUGACUUCAUCUCGGUUAAGGUUCGGUACUGCUGAGUAGAUACAAACUAUUGAAUCUCCAUCUUAAGCAUACUCAAGUAUCGCGACAUUUGCGCCUGCUCUAAAGCAGCAUCCUCUAGCCAUAAAAGAGCUCUCUCUAUAAACAUCCUGGUGAUCUCCUUCACCGACUCCAUCUGUUUGAGUGACAUGUACUCUUGUUCCAAUCGCUCUCGCUCCACAAUAGGAACAUACUUAGCACAGAACAUAUCCUAAAACUACUCCUAAGUCACCGUCACUCGCUCUUCCUUCGAGAAGCCCUCAGUAACAAACUCCCACUAAUCAUUCACACCCCAACAAAGAAGAACAAGCGCAAACUUCGCCUUCUGGUUCUUGGGACAAAAACAUGUGAAGAAACAGCCCUACACAUUAGAAAUCCAUCUCAAAGAAAUAAUUAGGUUCGUGUCGCUUCUGAACUCUGGAGGCUUUGUAUAACUGAACUCUCGUUACUGUAUCGCCUUGACUCUCAGAGAUCGUGCAAUAGCGGGGACUAUUAUGGUUUCGGCAGCAACUACGUGCGUGAUGGCGACAUAGAAUCGAUCAAACUCCUUGAUCAGUUCGGUCUUGACUGACCCAAAAAACUAUGGAAUCGCCUCUCUGAUCACCAAGGCCACUUCGGCGGUAAUGACCCCGCGAAUCUCCUCAUCCUCCAUACCUGCUCUAACAGUGCCACCAUCACUUGAUCCCGAGCCUCCAUAGCUGUCAUAUUGAAAAUACACCAUGGAAAAAUCAAACAUCAAAACACAGUGCUUAACUCACCAGGCCACCCUCCUAUUAGCUCCUUGGUAGCCUCGAGAUUCCUCCUGAAUCCCAUAUGGAUCACGUUCUUUCAGUAUUAUGGGCCCAUACUACCUUCCACACAUAUCCAUAUUCGAUUCGAAAUUCAUCCCAACAUCCUAAGUCACUACACUAGACCAUUCCUAGGUGUGCUAACACCUACUUAUCCUAUGAGCUACAACUAACUUCCUAGGAUUGUCCUUGCUCCCGCACCAUUGUUUGCUUUUGUGCAUGUUCGUUGUACACAAUACGAGGUCAGAUAGACUGUUGAAUAAUUGACUCUGCCCUAAGUCCACAACCAAACAAGGAACAAAAAAUAAGGCUAAGUCGAUCAUUCUAAGGCUAUUUAAUCCCGACCAUAUAUAACUAUAAAACAUACACAUAAUAAUCACACAAUCAAAUAACAUAUAACAAGCAAUUUCCUACAUCUUAAGGCAUCACCGAAAUCAAGCACUUCUAUCCACAACUCCCUAUGAGAACCGAAGAUUAUCCAUUAGCAUACUUUUAUAACAAUUCAUAUAUCAACAAGUUCAAAUUCGGCACAAAUAACAAGUAUGGGUAUUUUGGGAACCACUCUCCUGUUCAGGCUCUGACUGACUGUACACACCGCCAUCUUACUGUAAAACCAAGGUUAAGUCAAGGUUCAUGUUCCCGAUCCCAAGCCAACAAUCAAACAAGAACAUGAUAAGAGACUGAUCCCAUGUCCCUAAACCAACCGUUUUGUUAUAAAUUUCCUUUGCAAAAAUGUUUUGUGAAAAUUCUUGGAUCCUAGUUUGAGUUUGGAUUCACACAAGUAUUCUUCUAAUUCACUCAAAAUAAGGCUUUGAUACCAACUUGUAACGUCCCAUUUUCACAACAAAAAAAUUUCAUUUUUAUUAAGGUAAAACUCCAUAUCAUAAAACCCGUAUUAAGAAAAACCCUUUGUUCCAAAUUACAUUUGUAAAAUCAUAGUAAUAUUAUAAUACAGAGUCUUCAUUGUUAUUGAUGAAUGUGUACAUUCACGCCUUCACAUUCCCACGAUAAUUGAUGAUACCUGAAACAGUAAUUGUUGGGUAAGCACAAAGCUUAGUAAGUUCCCCAAAAUACCGCACAUAACAAAACAUAAACAAGUAUGCAUAUCCGGUCCACAGUCAUUGAACUAGAAUGCCUCGGGUUUGUUGGCCUACCACCUCAACUCAACCACUCUUCCCGAGCCUCUGUGCCUAUUGCUUACAGGUAGCCCGCACCUGUUUUCUUGGCCUACAACACAAAGCAGGACCGCCUCAACCUUAUCCACCACCAUAUGUUGACAUAUAAACAAACAAGGAUCAAGUAGGCACAUAAUACAUGCAAUAUCAAUCAUAUGACUCACUACCGCCUACUAGACCUCUCAUAACACACUGCUCCACUACUAGCUAACCUCCAUCGAAUGUGUAAUUCUAAGUAACCAUAGGUGAGAUAGCCACCCGAACAAAUGAUCCAACUCUAGGGCCACAACCAAACAAGGAAUAGGCAAGAAAGCCUAAUUCAGGCGUUCUCAAGCUAUCCUACAUGACUACAUACAUUCCCUAGGACACUCUACUAGACGAUAACCUACCUACUGGUACUCUAAACAGUAUACCACUAAUGUUGCAUCCUAUCACACCAGGAUAUAUAUAUAUAUAUAUAUAUAUAUAGCAGAUCACUAAAAUAUAGCAACAUCUUAUGCACAAGGAUACAUGAAUAACUCUACAAGGAAUGCAUAAUCAUAUGUAACCAGAGGUGAGAUAGACACCCAGACAAAUGAUCAUACUCUAGAGCCACAACUAAACAAGGAACAAGCAUGAAAGCCUAGAUCAAGAGUCCUCGAUCUAUCCUACGUGACCACAUACAGUCCCUGGGGCAUCCUUCUAAUAAAUGGUAACCAAAAACUAGUGGGCCAACAUUGGUGCCUUCGACCUACUGUUAUAGUGAGGAGAACUCACCUGAAAUGAAGAACCCCAAAAUAUUGAGAUGCACUUCCCUUUCUGCACUGCUUGCUCUCGUGAAUCCACUAAUCACCAAAACCAGGUAAAAUAUUAAACAAUAGUCCAAAACCCUCAGGUUUGACUUAAAGUUAAACUUUGCCAAAAGUGAAUGGUUAAUGAAAAUCAACGAAAGUCAAAGUCCAUGGCAGGCUGAGUACGCCCAACGUACUCCAACCUUACACUCAGCGUACAUGAUUCAAGCCUAGUAUGCCCAGGGUAUUCCUAGGUACGACCAACGUAUGCAAGUUGUUUCCAACAUUUCCAUUAAGCACUUUAUCCCUUAAGAACUUUCGUCCAGAGCUCAGAUCUAGCUCCAAAUGACAUCCUAAAUCAUAAAUUUUCCAACUUUAUGACUUUGCAUGGCUAGAAAUGGUCCAAAUUCAAAACCUAACUUAUCAUAAAGUUUUAUGCUUCAUAACUCAUCCAUGAAUGGAAGGAAAAUAUCAAGAUUGCAUUUUUAUGAGUUAACACCCUCAAAUACACCUGGAAAUGCACCUCACAAGCUCUAAAACAACUCACACUCAAAUUGACCAAUCUAUGGGACAAAAAUGACAUAACUUUAACAUUUAAGCUAGAUCUAUCAAUGGAGACAUAAAUGUACAAACUUUAUAAAUAAAUGAGAAAAAUGAACUUCCAAAUCCAAAGUUGAUUCAAACUUCCAAGCAGUAUCACCACAUUCUUCUUCCUUCAAAGGCACCCAAAAUUUCUAAACAUAGUUACACUCCUAAAUGGUUCUCUUUUUAUUUUUCUAAUUAAUUAUUUUACAUAGUUACACUCCUAAAUGGUUCUCUUUUUAUUUUUCUAAUUAAUUAAUUUAACUAGUAAUGAUAUGCCAUUUACGUGAAAUGUCAGUCUAGUGACAGGAACAUUUAAACAAAAAAUAUAGUUUGAUGAUAUUUUUUUGUACCAAUGUCUUACUUAGAUGAUAUUUUUUUGAAUAAUUUCAAAACAUAAUUACCCUUCUAAACCAUUUCCCUUUUUCAAAAAGUUAAACACAUUUAAUCGUUAAAACACUUAAAUGUUCUCGAACCGAAGAUUAUUGAUUACUUAUACAAUAUCGAGUGUUUAUUGGGAUCAAAAGCAUAUCUAUAUCUAUAUCUAUGGCUUCUUCAUGACAAAAAUUACAAAUUGCUCGUCAUCUGUUUCCCUUCCCUUCGACUGGAUUACAUUUCAAACUUGAACCAAAUCUCAUUUACUCUGUUGUCAAAUUCGAAUGGAGAAUUGUAUUGAGCAACCGUGUAAACUGUCGUGAUGUCACGGGAGUGGCUUUUCUUGAUGGCAUCCAACCAAGUAGUGCCAGAGAGACUGGCGGAUAAGGCCGCAGCUUCAACGCCGACGUCUGAGUCCUUUAUAAAUCCACCGAAUUGGCGUACGGCUACAUAAGUCGGUCCCCAUUUCUGGAUCGAAAUUCCGGUAGCCGGAGGCGGAUCGACUUGGUUCUUCUUCGGGACAUAAAAACUCACCAGAAAUGAAGAUUCGCAGAAGGGUCCGUCACUCGGAGCAAUCUCUGUUAGAACCGGAGCUGUCAUUUCUAUCUGCUCAUUGUAAUUGUUUUUCCCUUGGAUGUAGUU
Molecule: long non-coding RNA, 10057 nt
Filed under: Lactuca sativa (garden lettuce)
Lineage: Eukaryota; Viridiplantae; Streptophyta; Magnoliopsida; Asterales; Asteraceae
Description: long non-coding RNA (LSAT_LNC005827)
Source: RNAcentral